This 486-nucleotide ribosomal RNA is filed under the name uncultured bacterium. RNAcentral's name for it is "partial 16S ribosomal RNA". It matches the Rfam family "Bacterial small subunit ribosomal RNA", at positions 28 to 507 of the family's 1533-position model. The record is from RNAcentral.
GAUGAACGCUAGCGGCAGGCUUAACACAUGCAAGUCGAGGGGCAGCGCGGGAUAGCAAUAUCCUGGCGGCGACCGGCGGAAGGGUGCGUAACGCGUGAGCGACAUGCCCGUUGCCCGGGGACAACCGGUGGAAACGCCGACUAAUCCCCGAUGGGAUACGAUGCUUCAUGGCAUUGUAUUGAAAGUUACGGCGGCGACGGAUUGGCUCGCGUCCGAUUAGCUGGUUGGCGGGGUAACGGCCCACCAAGGCUGCGAUCGGUAGGGGUUCUGAGAGGAAGGCCCCCCACAAUGGGACGGAGACACGGCCCAUACUCCGACGGGAGGCAGCAGUGAGGAAUAUUGGUCAAUGGGCGGAAGCCUGAACCAGCCAUGCCGCGUGCGGGAAGGAGGCCCUAUGGGCUGUGAACCGCUUUUGCCUGGGGGCAAUAAGGGCGUCGCGCACGUCCGAUGAGAGUACCAGGCGAAUAAGCAUCGGCUAACUCCGUG